UACGGAGGGUGCAAGCGUUAAUCGGAAUUACUGGGCGUAAAGCGUGCGCAGGCGGUUUUGUAAGCCAGAUGUGAAAUCCCCGGGCUUAACCUGGGAAUGGCAUUUGGGACUGCAAGGCUCGAGUGCGGCAGAGGAGACUGGAAUUCCUGGUGUAGCAGUGAAAUGCGUAGAUAUCAGGAGGAACACCGAUGGCGAAGGCGGCAUCCUGGACCAACACUGACGCUGAGUGAGCGAAAGCCAGGGGAGCAAACGGG
Molecule: ribosomal RNA, 254 nt
Filed under: uncultured bacterium
Lineage: Bacteria
Description: partial 16S ribosomal RNA
Rfam family: Bacterial small subunit ribosomal RNA
Source: RNAcentral